RNAcentral lists this microRNA precursor (274 nucleotides) under Daucus carota subsp. sativus. Its description in RNAcentral is "sRNA DCAR_mi00247". The record is from RNAcentral. Lineage: Eukaryota; Viridiplantae; Streptophyta; Magnoliopsida; Apiales; Apiaceae.
UACGAUAUGAUUGAAUUUGAUGUAUAGAAGCAUAGAUGGUGAUAUUUGAAUUUUACUACUUAAUUGAUAUUAGGUCUCAUACUCUACCUAAUUUAAAGUUUAUAUUUUUGAGAAUAAUUAUUUGAAUAUAUAUAUAUAUAUAUAUAUAUUCAAAUAAUUAUUCUCAAAAAUAUAAACUUUAAAUUAGGUAGAGUAUGAGACCUAAUAUCAAUUAAGUAGUAAAAUUCAAAUAUCACCAUCUAUGCUUCUAUACAUCAAAUUCAAUCAUAUCGUA